This 492-nucleotide ribosomal RNA is filed under the name uncultured bacterium. RNAcentral's name for it is "partial 16S ribosomal RNA". It matches the Rfam family "Bacterial small subunit ribosomal RNA", at positions 29 to 507 of the family's 1533-position model. The record is from RNAcentral.
AGUGAACGCUGGCGGUAGGCCUAACACAUGCAAGUCGAACGGCAGCACAGUAAGAGCUUGCUCUUACGGGUGGCGAGUGGCGGACGGGUGAGGAAUACAUCGGAAUCUACUUUUUCGUGGGGGAUAACGUAGGGAAACUUACGCUAAUACCGCAUACGACCUACGGGUGAAAGCAGGGGAUCUUCGGACCUUGCGCGAUUGAAUGAGCCGAUGUCGGAUUAGCUAGUUGGCGGGGUAAAGGCCCACCAAGGCGACGAUCCGUAGCUGGUCUGAGAGGAUGAUCAUCCACACUGGAACUGAGACACGGUCCAUACUCCUACGGGAGGCAGCAGUGGGGAAUAUUGGACAAUGGGCUCAAGCCUGAUCCAGCCAUCCCGCGUGGGUGAAGAAGGCCUUCGGGUUGUAACGCCCUUUUGUUGGGAAAGACAAGCAGCAGGUUAAUACCCCGCUGUUCUGACGGUACCCAAAGAAUAAGCACCGGCUAACUUCGUG